This 1556-nucleotide ribosomal RNA is filed under the name Salmonella enterica subsp. enterica serovar Heidelberg. Its description in RNAcentral is "bacterial SSU rRNA". It matches the Rfam family "Bacterial small subunit ribosomal RNA". The record is from RNAcentral. Lineage: Bacteria; Pseudomonadati; Pseudomonadota; Gammaproteobacteria; Enterobacterales; Enterobacteriaceae.
UUAAAUUGAAGAGUUUGAUCAUGGCUCAGAUUGAACGCUGGCGGCAGGCCUAACACAUGCAAGUCGAACGGUAACAGGAAGCAGCUUGCUGCUUUGCUGACGAGUGGCGGACGGGUGAGUAAUGUCUGGGAAACUGCCUGAUGGAGGGGGAUAACUACUGGAAACGGUGGCUAAUACCGCAUAACGUCGCAAGACCAAAGAGGGGGACCUUCGGGCCUCUUGCCAUCAGAUGUGCCCAGAUGGGAUUAGCUUGUUGGUGAGGUAACGGCUCACCAAGGCGACGAUCCCUAGCUGGUCUGAGAGGAUGACCAGCCACACUGGAACUGAGACACGGUCCAGACUCCUACGGGAGGCAGCAGUGGGGAAUAUUGCACAAUGGGCGCAAGCCUGAUGCAGCCAUGCCGCGUGUAUGAAGAAGGCCUUCGGGUUGUAAAGUACUUUCAGCGGGGAGGAAGGUGUUGCGGUUAAUAACCGCAGCAAUUGACGUUACCCGCAGAAGAAGCACCGGCUAACUCCGUGCCAGCAGCCGCGGUAAUACGGAGGGUGCAAGCGUUAAUCGGAAUUACUGGGCGUAAAGCGCACGCAGGCGGUCUGUCAAGUCGGAUGUGAAAUCCCCGGGCUCAACCUGGGAACUGCAUUCGAAACUGGCAGGCUUGAGUCUUGUAGAGGGGGGUAGAAUUCCAGGUGUAGCGGUGAAAUGCGUAGAGAUCUGGAGGAAUACCGGUGGCGAAGGCGGCCCCCUGGACAAAGACUGACGCUCAGGUGCGAAAGCGUGGGGAGCAAACAGGAUUAGAUACCCUGGUAGUCCACGCCGUAAACGAUGUCUACUUGGAGGUUGUGCCCUUGAGGCGUGGCUUCCGGAGCUAACGCGUUAAGUAGACCGCCUGGGGAGUACGGCCGCAAGGUUAAAACUCAAAUGAAUUGACGGGGGCCCGCACAAGCGGUGGAGCAUGUGGUUUAAUUCGAUGCAACGCGAAGAACCUUACCUGGUCUUGACAUCCACAGAACUUUCCAGAGAUGGAUUGGUGCCUUCGGGAACUGUGAGACAGGUGCUGCAUGGCUGUCGUCAGCUCGUGUUGUGAAAUGUUGGGUUAAGUCCCGCAACGAGCGCAACCCUUAUCCUUUGUUGCCAGCGGUUAGGCCGGGAACUCAAAGGAGACUGCCAGUGAUAAACUGGAGGAAGGUGGGGAUGACGUCAAGUCAUCAUGGCCCUUACGACCAGGGCUACACACGUGCUACAAUGGCGCAUACAAAGAGAAGCGACCUCGCGAGAGCAAGCGGACCUCAUAAAGUGCGUCGUAGUCCGGAUUGGAGUCUGCAACUCGACUCCAUGAAGUCGGAAUCGCUAGUAAUCGUGGAUCAGAAUGCCACGGUGAAUACGUUCCCGGGCCUUGUACACACCGCCCGUCACACCAUGGGAGUGGGUUGCAAAAGAAGUAGGUAGCUUAACCUUCGGGAGGGCGCUUACCACUUUGUGAUUCAUGACUGGGGUGAAGUCGUAACAAGGUAACCGUAGGGGAACCUGCGGUUGGAUCACCUCCUUACCUUAAAGAAGC